RNAcentral lists this ribosomal RNA (317 nucleotides) under uncultured bacterium. RNAcentral's name for it is "bacterial SSU rRNA". It matches the Rfam family "Bacterial small subunit ribosomal RNA", at positions 29 to 371 of the family's 1533-position model. The record is from RNAcentral.
AACGAACGCUGGCGGCAGGCCUAACACAUGCAAGUCGAACGCCGUAGCAAUACGGAGUGGCAGACGGGUGAGUAACACGUGGGAACAUACCCUUCGGUUCGGAAUAACUCAGGGAAACUUGAGGCUAAUACCGGAUACGUCCGCGAGGAGAAAGAUUCAUCGCCGGAGGAUUGGCCCGCGUCUGAUUAGCUUGUUGGUGAGGUAACGGCUCACCAAGGCGACGAUCAGUAGCNGGUCUGAGAGGAUGAUCAGCCACAUUGGGACUGAGACACGGGCCCAAACUCCUACGGGAGGCAGCAGUGGGGAAUAUUGGACAA